Molecule: transfer-messenger RNA, 138 nt
Filed under: Acidobacteriaceae bacterium
Lineage: Bacteria; Pseudomonadati; Acidobacteriota; Terriglobia; Terriglobales; Acidobacteriaceae
Description: partial transfer-messenger RNA
Rfam family: transfer-messenger RNA
About the family: Bacterial tmRNA, also known as 10Sa RNA or SsrA, is named for its dual tRNA and mRNA-like properties. Its role is to liberate the mRNA from a stalled ribosome. To accomplish this part of the tmRNA is used as a reading frame that ends in a translation stop signal.
Source: RNAcentral
GGGGGCGUCACGGUUUCGACGGGAUCGCUUGCGGCAAAGAGGCAUGCAGGGGUCUGGGCACCCUUAAUCGCCUGGAAAAUGAUAAUUGCCGAUCAUCAACUGGCAUACGCUGCUUAAUUAACUAAGUAGCCGUCCUCC